UCCGAAUUGGUGUAGUGGUAACAUUUGACGCUCUCACCGGUUCUGACCCUUACCUAGAGCACCGAAGGACUUGAAAAGAACAAGCCACAGAGCAUCGCGUCGAGUAGAGUAACCCACGUGCCAGAGGAAGGCCCACAGACCUUGGCCCGUCAAGCCCGGGGUUCGACUCCCCGAUUCGGAA
Non-coding RNA from Hypoxylon sp. CO27-5, 181 nucleotides. Lineage: Eukaryota; Fungi; Ascomycota; Sordariomycetes; Xylariales; Hypoxylaceae. The record is from the annotation of a GenBank genome assembly.